GGAGGAGGGGAGGGGAGGAGGGAGCAGGAGAGGGGAGGGAAGAGGGGAGGGGGAGAGAAAUGGGGAAAAGGAGAGGACGAGGGGAGAGGGGGGAGGAGAGGGAUGUGAGGAGGGGAGGAAGCAGAGGGGAGGAGGAAGGGGAUGGUGUCCUCCAGGCCAGAAGAGGGCACAGCCAGGCAGGAGAGGCGCUGACCCCACCUCGUUAGUGAGAGGCCACUGUGGGGUACCCGACCUGGAACCAGGGAGCAGCACGUGCAGAGAAACGGGGUGGCCUGCUCUCUGGACCCUUGUGUCUCUCCUCCGUCUCUUCCCCUCCAGGGCCCCGGGCCAGGAGGGAGGCCCCUGUCCAGGUAAGAGGGGCUCGCGCAGACAUGUCAGCACACACACACACGUGCACAGGCACACGCACACACUCUAAGGAGUGGGCAUGUGGGAGGCAGGGGGUAGGAAGAGCAGAAGCCCAUCCUGGCAAAGGGAGUGUGGACGGCACAGGAUGGCCUCCUCGGGGUGCCGGGGAGGGGGCGGGGACACCAGCCUGCAGCCCACCCUCCCCUGUUGUGUGCGCAAGCGAAGGUAGUGGGUCUGGGGGUGAGGACAGGGUUACCAUCCUCCGAGUCAGCCCUGCCUCUCCCGGCCCACAGAGGAGCCACGCAAUACAGUGUCAAUCGGGGGGAAACCACGAGUUACAGGCCCCAUGGGCAAAGACCCACACCACCCCUCCUACAGGAAAUCCAGGCCCCUGCAACUCAGCCUGUGAAAAGUCUCCAUCACCCUGAACCCUUGCUUUUCUCCAGUGGGCUUUGGUUCAGGACCCCUCCCAUUUCCUUCUUCUCCAUAAAAUAAUGUUUCUCUCCUUUGUUGGACUUGUCUGUGGUUUUGCCGUUAGCUUGCAUAUCCCAAAUUGCAAUUCUGUGCUAUUCCCCAAUCAACCCAUAUCUGCUGGUAAAAUAACUUUCAUUCUUAAGGUCAACAUGACCAUUUAGUAAAGGGCCGGAGCCUCAAAGGAGGGGUCUUGCCUCACCCAGAAUGCCCAGCCUUGGCCACUGGACAGGCACUGCCCCCGAGUCAGGAAAACAGCCCAGGCCUGGCCUCAUCCUCAGGCCAGGAGGUAGCUUUGCUUCUCCACCGUGGCUGGGGCAUACAGGUAAGCUAGACCUGCCCACAUGUCACACAGGACCCAAUAGCCCAGGGAAUCUGUCCAUUCCCAGGUCCCUGUGCCAGCUGGGACUUCAACGUUCUGACCAGCGACCUAAACUGAUGGUCAAUCUCCCCCAGAAGACCUGGCCAGGACCCAGCCUCACUCCCCUUCUACUUCAAAGGCCACCUGAGUCCCAUCGCCCAGACUAUCCACCAUCACCCCCCACCCUUUCCCACCUUCUCACAGGACCCUAGCCACCCCCCCCCGC
This 1406-nucleotide long non-coding RNA is filed under the name Lynx pardinus (Iberian lynx). Lineage: Eukaryota; Metazoa; Chordata; Mammalia; Carnivora; Felidae. The record is from RNAcentral.